GGAAAUAAAAGUCGUAACAAGGUUUCCGUAGGUGAACCUGCGGAAGGAUCAUUAUUGAAUAAACCUGAUGUGGUUGUAGCUGGCCCUUUCGGGAGCAUGUGCACACCCGUCGUCUUUAUCUUUCCACCUGUGCACCUUUUGUGGACCUGGAUGUAACACUUUCCGAGGCAACUCGGUCGGGAGGAAUGCUGUCAGCUUUCCUUGAAUGUCCAGGCCUAUGUUUUCAUAUACCCCAAAGAAUGUAACAGAAUGUAUUAUUGGGCCUUGUGCCUAUAAACUAUAUACAACUUUCAGCAACGGAUCUCUUGGCUCUC
This 314-nucleotide unclassified non-coding RNA is filed under the name plant metagenome. RNAcentral describes it as "partial contains small subunit ribosomal RNA, internal transcribed spacer 1, and 5.8S ribosomal RNA". The stretch from base 1 to 54 matches the Rfam family "Eukaryotic small subunit ribosomal RNA", at positions 1778 to 1831 of the family's 1831-position model. The record is from RNAcentral.